Molecule: non-coding RNA, 114 nt
Organism: Agrilus planipennis (emerald ash borer)
Lineage: Eukaryota; Metazoa; Arthropoda; Insecta; Coleoptera; Buprestidae
Source: Rfam
GUUGGUUACGGGGAUAUCUACCCGACGACGCCACUGGGCAAGGUCAUAGGAAGCGUGUGUUGUAUUUGCGGAGUCCUGGUGAUCGCUUUGCCCAUUCCCAUCAUUGUUAAUAAU